This 195-nucleotide ribosomal RNA is filed under the name uncultured bacterium. RNAcentral describes it as "partial 16S ribosomal RNA". It matches the Rfam family "Bacterial small subunit ribosomal RNA", at positions 1297 to 1500 of the family's 1533-position model. The record is from RNAcentral.
AUCGGAGUCUGCAACCCGACUCCGUGAAGCUGGAUUCGCUGUAAUCGCGCAUCAGCCAUGGCGCGGUGAAUACGUUCCCGGGCCUUGUACACACCGCCCGUCAAGCCAUGGGAGCCGGGAGUGCCUGAAGGCCGUGACCGCAAGGAGCGGCCUAAGGUAAAACUGGUGACUGGGGCUAAGUCGUAACAAGGUAUC